UCUGGCAUAUUCAAAGGAGCUGUUAUUUUAAAUUCGCCCACCAUCUGCAUGGCAUCCUUCCACCCUACAAGAUAAAAAGACGCUUCCACUUGGACAAAAGCUGCUGGUUAAAAGUGUUUCACUUGAGGCUGUGUGACUUUAAGUAACUGACAACUCCUUGAAGCAUCAGUUUCCUCAUAUACGAAGAUUGGCAAAGGCAUUGGGAGAAGGAGAUGCCUCAGAGAACCAGCAAAGCCUCCAUCACCCUGAAGACAGAGAAUUAUGGAUGUGAGUGUGUUAAAGUUUCCAGGGACAGCAAAGAUAAGUGGAUGCGGCUUUGUUUCCUCUUGCUUCCUCCACAUAUGAAACCAUUCUGAUAGAUCUGCAGGAAGAGAUGUAGUCGCAGAUGGCAGAGUGAAUAGUUAUGCCCAUGAAGCCAAGAAGAAAGCCACAAUGGCACAAAUUAGACACGCACACGUGAAAAAGAAUAAACUUGUUACUAUGCAAUAAUAAGACCCAGAGGGAUGCAUUAUCAGUUACACUGUCCAUGAGGAGAAAACUUCCCAGUUUCUCAGGCAAGAGCAGGUCUCAUAGUUUGCAUCUGGUGUGGACAGAGACAGUAUUCACCAGCAUGGCAUGAAUUUAGG
Myotis myotis is the source of this 626-nucleotide long non-coding RNA. RefSeq lists it as uncharacterized. The transcript has 6 exons. NCBI's taxonomy places the organism in Eukaryota, Metazoa, Chordata, Mammalia, Chiroptera, Vespertilionidae. The record is from RefSeq and is a predicted model, not a curated record.